This 2747-nucleotide unclassified non-coding RNA is filed under the name Hevea brasiliensis (rubber tree). Lineage: Eukaryota; Viridiplantae; Streptophyta; Magnoliopsida; Malpighiales; Euphorbiaceae. The record is from RNAcentral.
AGACAUUAUCCCGUUCAGUUGUCUAUCAGCUUGUCCUAGAAUUUUCAUCCGGACAAAUUUAUUGUAUUAAAUUUCUUGAAAAAGAACAAAUGUAGAAUGGUGUCAAACUUGAAUCCCUUCAUGUUUCUGGGGCUUAAAGGAUACAAGCAAGCCAAACAAAAUAGAUAUACAGUUGGAAAAUAGCAUUGCUCACUUAAAGUGCUGUCACAUAUACCUCCUUUUUCCAAUUUGAAUUUGCUCAAUUUCUAAGGAUCCCAUUUGAAGAUUACAAGGUCAAUCCAUCCUUCACAAUUUGCUCCAACCAAGUUGCCAAAUCCGACAUAGUAGGACGGCUAUUAGGAUUUUCCCUGACAGCCAGUUCUGCUAUAUCAGCAAGUUUAAGUAAUGGCUCAAAAUUUCUUGGAAGAGCCACAUAUCGAUCAAUUAUGGCAGCUGCCUUACCCUGUUUAAUUAAUGGUAUUGCCCAAUCAACUAUACUUGGAGGAGUGCUAUCUUUAUCAUAUGCUUUUCUUCCACUAAGAAUCUCUAGAAGUAUAAUUCCAAAAUUGUAAACAUCAGUUUUCAUGUCUCCACCAAGAUCCUUCUCAUUUGCAGUAAGAAGCCCAAAAUCUGCAAUUCUUGCUCCCCACUCAGAAUCCAAAAGAAUAUUUGAAGUCUUGACAUUCCUAUGGACAAUUGGAGGCUUAGCUUCCUUGUGAAGGUACUCAAGCCCCUUUGCAGCCUGCAUUGCAAUCUUCAACCUAAAGCUCCAAUUCAAAGGAGAAAGUUCACCGUGGAGGUGAUCAUGAAGUGUGCCAUGAGGCAUAUACUCAUAAACAAGCAGCCUCUCUCCCAUCUCUGAGCAGUAACCCAACAAGUUCACAAUAUUGCAAUGUCGAACGUUGCAUAGAACUUCCAACUCCAUUUCAAAAUCCCUACUGUUAGUGUGGAUUAUUGUGGCAGCAUUUGCCCUCUUGACUGCAACUUGCCUCCCAUCAGUUAAGACUGCUUUAUAAACCAAACCAUAUCUUCCCCUUCCAAGCUUAUUGAAUUCUUUGAACCUGUUGGUGGCAUCUUUUAGCUCCGAAAGUCGGAAUACUUGAGCCAUACCAGGACAAGAAGUCGUGGAUGUAAGCUGGUGUGAAUCAGAAGCAUUGUCAUUUUCCAACUUAGGUUUUCCUAUGCAAGAUUUAAACUGUUUCUUUGAUCCUUCUUCUUUUCGAGUGACCAUCGAACGUGAAAAAACACAGCAACUGAUUAAUAUCAAUAAGAAACCCAAUGCAGAAGGCCCGAUUAUAAUUACUAAUCUACGCAAGUGGUGCCAUUGUUUCUGUGCAGAUGAUUGCAUCCCACAAACACCCCAACAAGAACUGUUCUGGCAAAGAGAGCAAGCUGUGCAUACUCUGUCGGCAUUCUCAGUACAGGGACUAGACAAGAAAAAACCUUGAGAGCAAUUCGAUCCACAUGGGGAACAAAUAUUUAAAUCCUUCCUAAAACACAAGCUUGUCAAGUCCGGCUCAUUUAGAAAGCUUGCAUUGAAAACAAACUCCCCUUCACCACAAGAGCCAGGACCACAUAGCCCUGGACUGAACAACUCCAGAGGAGGAUUAUACUCUGGUGGUGAAGUCCCACUGGCAAACCAGCAAUCAAUAACCAAAUCAUCUUCCCUGAUUCCACAUGUAGUGAAAUCAGACGAUGCAAUUGCAGUAAACCCAGCACCACCCUUCGGAACAGAUGACAAAUUAAAGCUUCCCCAACACUCAACAGCAUGAUUAUCUUCUCUAAUUCCACAAAAAUGGUUAGCACCAGCAGUUAAGGACACAAACUGCGUCCCAACUGGAAGGCUCGAAAAUGAAUCAUUACUAAUGCCCCAGCACUUGACCUCAUUAGACUCUUCCAAAAUUCCACAUAGAGAACGCAUCCCUGAAGCUAAAACUCUGUAAUUGUCUAAUACACUUGAAACGCCCAAGCUCGCUGAGUUUGGUCCCCAACAAACUGCUCCUCCUUCUCUGACCCUGCCACAACUGUACCCUUCACCAGACACAACCUUACUAAAAACAAGAUUACUAAUGGACUGAUCAUAAAAUUGGCUGCUUUGUGUAGAAGUUAAACUAUUAUUUGCACCCUUCACGAUAUCCCAACAAUCGAUUGUACCCGAGUAUUGAUCAGAGUAAUAAGAUCCUCUAAUAGCACAAAGAUGAUUCUUCCCUGCAGCGAUAUGCGAAUAACCAAUAUUUCUAUAAAUCGAAGGAACAAGAUCUAGACCCGAGUAAAUUGAGCUCCAACAAAGAGCUUGUGAGCUGUUUGCUAAAAUGCCGCAUAGAAAUCCUUCGCCACCAGAAAGGGGCGUCAUAAUGGGAAUGCUGCUAAAAUAACCGACGGAUGUAGACGCUGGGGAAGAUAAGGAGGAUGAUAAUGGUAAAGUAGUGUUCUUUGUCCAACAGAUAACUUCCUGCUAGACACUGGCAUCAAUGGCGCAAAAGAAUCCGUUACCUCCAAAUGCAGCGGAGAUGGGUCCCAUGGAUCCGAACCCAGAAACGCAAAAGCAGGAAAGGAGGGGGAUGAGAAGGAGAAAGGGGAUAAUGAAGAAGAAGGACUGCAUGGCUGAAGCGGGUAGAGGCGACGGCAGUGGGUAUUUUCAUUCUCUUUAAACAUUCAUCGUUUGAAAUUCUCUUUUACGGGUACCUUUCUUUUGAUUCAUGAUGUGGGUGAAGUGUUUUAUGAUCACUUUGGUUGAAUGUUGUUUUGUACGAAACAUUUAUUUUUUA